AGAGACAGCAGUAGCCGCGGGAAUACAGAGGGUGCGAGCGUUAAUCGGAUUUACUGGGCGUAAAGCGUGCGUAGGCGGCUUCUUAAGUCGGAUGUGAAAUCCCUGAGCUUAACUUAGGAAUUGCAUUCGAUACUGGGAAGCUAGAGUAUGGGAGAGGAUGGUAGAAUUCCAGGUGUAGCGGUGAAAUGCGUAGAGAUCUGGAGGAAUACCGAUGGCGAAGGCAGCCAUCUGGCCUAAUACUGACGCUGAGGUACGAAAGCAUGGGGAGCAAACAGGAUUAGAUACCCGUUAGUCCCUGUCUCUUACACA
This 309-nucleotide ribosomal RNA is filed under the name uncultured bacterium. RNAcentral's name for it is "partial 16S ribosomal RNA". It matches the Rfam family "Bacterial small subunit ribosomal RNA", at positions 504 to 810 of the family's 1533-position model. The record is from RNAcentral.